CUGAUUGCAGCCAUGCCCGCGUGUGUGAAGAGGCCUUCGGGUUGUAAAGCACUUUCAGUCAGGAGGAAAGGGUGUGAGUUAAUACCUCAUAUCUGUGACGUUACCGACAGAAGAAGCACCGGCUAACUCCGUGCCAGCAGCCGCGGUAAUACGGAGGGUGCGAGCGUUAAUCGGAAUUACUGGGCGUAAAGCGUACGCAGGCGGUUUGUUAAGCGAGAUGUGAAACCCCGGGCUCAACCUGGGAACUGCAUUUCGAACUGGCAAACUAGAGUGUGAUAGAGGGUGGUAAAUUUCAGGUGUAGCGGUGAAAUGCGUAGAGAUCUGAAGGAAUACCGAUGGCGAAGGCAGCCACCUGGAUCAACACUGACGCUCAUGUACGAAAGCGUGGGGAGCAAACGGGAUUAGAUACCCCGGUAGUCCACGCCGUAACGAUGUCUACUAGACACUCGGAACC
Molecule: ribosomal RNA, 454 nt
Filed under: uncultured marine bacterium
Lineage: Bacteria
Description: bacterial SSU rRNA
Rfam family: Bacterial small subunit ribosomal RNA
Source: RNAcentral